ACACCGGCAGCUCAAGUGGUGGCCGUUUUUAUUGGGCCUAAAGCGUUCGUAGCCGGCCUGAUAAGUCUCUGGUGAAAUCCCGCAGCUUAACUGUGGGAAUUGCUGGAGAUACUAUCAGGCUUGAGGCCGGGAGAGGUUAGAGGUACUCCCAGGGUAGGGGUGAAAUCCUAUAAUCCUGGGAGGACCACCUGUGGCGAAGGCGUCUAACUGGAACGAACCUGACGGUGAGUAACGAAAGCCAGGGGCGCGAACCGGAGUAGAUACCCGGGUAGUCCUGGCCGUAAACGAUGUGGACUUGGGGUUGGGAUGGCCUCGAGCUGCCCCAGUGCCGAAGGGAAGCUGUUAAGUCCACCGCCUGGGAAGUACGGUCGCAAGACUGAA
RNAcentral lists this ribosomal RNA (381 nucleotides) under uncultured archaeon. RNAcentral's name for it is "bacterial SSU rRNA". It matches the Rfam family "Archaeal small subunit ribosomal RNA", at positions 473 to 853 of the family's 1478-position model. The record is from RNAcentral.